RNAcentral lists this long non-coding RNA (2194 nucleotides) under Triticum aestivum (bread wheat). RNAcentral's name for it is "long non-coding RNA (TAES_LNC026737)". Lineage: Eukaryota; Viridiplantae; Streptophyta; Magnoliopsida; Poales; Poaceae. The record is from RNAcentral.
UCUCUUGGGUUGUCUACAUCUUCGCCAUCUCCUAAUCCCUCUCUUCCUCACACGUAAGGUACAUCCCCUCUCCCUUCCCCAUUACUUUGCUACCUUGGAUUAGAUUUCUCUGGUUGAAAUUGGAGCCUCGUGUAGUUUAGUGUUGAUCUGAGCUACACACUAGCGAUUGCACAAGGUUGUAUUCAAGAGAAUUUUGGAUGGUUGCGGCUGCUGCUGCUGCUGGAUGCAGUUGUUAAAAUUAUAAAGGAAUUCAGUGGGUAAUGUGUCAGAAAGUUAGACAAUUUAGCUAUGGAUAUUUUCAAUAUUUAGCAACUUAAUUUUGGGUUUCAGUGUUCUAUACAUGAAUUUUUGAUGCCUUGCACUUCUAGGAGUUGUGGUUUAUUUAUGCAAACAUGAACCUUAUAUAAGUAAUUGGUGUUCCAUUGAUGUGUCCAAAUGACCAUGAAAUAUAAAAUUGAAUUGUGUAAGUGAAUUGAUGAUGAUACAUGCUUCAGUUUCUGAAGAUUGGGAAGCAAUCCUCGUGACAUUUCCAUGCGAAUCUUUUUAAAUCCACUUUUGGGUGACUCAUUUUUUAUUAUAUUGAAUUUAAAUUCACAUUGGCAUGCCGAGAUUUGUGAAAACUGUUCACUUUUUCUUUUCUGGGUGUAGCAUCUCCAGGCCUACAUGCAAUCAUUAUUUUUGUUAAGCAACAGAAUGCUACAGUUAUGUAGAGAGUUAGAGGCGAGGGGCGAUGAGAGUUGGUUUAUGUUGGUAUUCAACUGGUUGCUUCUUAUGGUUUGGUACGUCUAUAUAAAGCUCACAUGUAUUUCGCUGCAUUUGCCUAAAAAGUGUAUCCGUGUAGAUUUUCAGUACAAAGGUUUGCAUUAAGUAUAUUUUCACUCCAUGCGCAUGAUACAUUUCUUAUCACCCAAUGUGCUGUUUAGGGGAAACUGAUCCUUCUAAUCUGGCAUUCUUUUUGGUCUUCCCUGCUUUAUGUAGUUCAUGCUGACUCCUUAAUUCUUCAGUGAUAAUGAGUUAUUCAUGGAUCUAGCAACUGACUGUAUUUGCUUUGUCUCGAGAUCAUGGAUACUUUUUUUCAUGAGAUCAUGGAUACUUGAAUGCCCUUUGUUGACAAUAUAUGGUUUCUGAUUGUUUUCGUACGUUUAUGCCUCUUCUGAGCUUGCGAAACCCAUUUAUUUUCCCAAAGAUCACUUGUGCCUACUAAGUCUUGGGAUCCAUUUUUUUUCCUAUGUGACCAAUCCCUAGAAGAAUGCAUGCUCCCUAGCCAUAGAAGAAAUCAGCAGGUGGACAAAGUUCAGGGCCUGAGGCAGCAAUAGUUCUUCAAAGGCACUGAGCAAUAAUUGAUUGGUUGAAGGUAGCAUUUUCUGUCGAGAUUCAAUUGACAGGGAAGAAAUUGUUUCUAUAUGUGCCUUUGGUUUUCUUUCGCUUAGGGACUUUGUACAGUUCUUUUUUCAGGGCAAGAGAUUCUUCUGCUAGAUAAGAAAUCGAGCUUCAGUUGACAUGGAGGAAAUUGUUUCUGUCUAUGCCUUUGGUUUUAUUUUACUUAGAGAGUUUCUAUAGUUUUUUUCAGGGGAAGAGAUUCUUCAGCUGGAUGAGAAAGAGCACUCUGAUUAAUUAGAUCAGAAGUUGCGUGUGAUGAUGAUUGCUCGUGCAGACUACAAUGGCACCAACCACCAGGCAUGGUCGUCAGUGAGGCGCCGUCAGUGGACAUGAGUAAAGCUUCUUGACCUAUACGAUUCAUGGUUUGGCAUAUUUGCUUCAUCGGAGUGCUUUGUCUGAGAUGAUUGAGAUCCUUAAUUUGCAUUGGUUUAUCUUUGUCGCAUCUCUUGCAAUACAUUAGUGGAAAGCUUAGCAGUGCUGAUCUUCUAAACUUGAAGUUAAUUAUGACUUGCUUAAACUCAUAAUAAUUUUGUUUCGGAGAGUGCAGAAAUCAUUUUGAGGAAACAGUGAACAAAAAAGUUGGGGCAUCCUGGGUAAUCAGCUUGGAGAAGCCCAGAAAAAUCUGACAGGAGUGGUGACAGUAGCAGCAGCAUGCCUGAUACAAGACCCCUGAAUAGUGAUUGGAGCAUUAAAGCCAUGGUAUUAUUCUCUUUGGAUUUUUUGUUGCAUGUCCUGCUUUGCUUAGGCGUUUAAACGUGUGAUUUGUUUCUACCAGGUGGUAUUCAUUUUUUGCAGCCGUUGGAUGAUGUAUCAU